Labrus bergylta (ballan wrasse) is the source of this 847-nucleotide non-coding RNA. The record is from RefSeq and is a predicted model, not a curated record. NCBI's taxonomy places the organism in Eukaryota, Metazoa, Chordata, Actinopteri, Labriformes, Labridae.
AUGACAUGAGAUUUGAUUUAUUAUAUAUACAUAUGGUCAAUCAUAUAUCAGGAUAAUAUGGUUCAAAGUUAAAAGGAGCUCAAGUAAAAUAUGGAGCAUCAGUGAAGUCACUAGAGACACUGUUUACAUGAUAUGUGAACACCAAGAACACCUCUCCUCUCUCUGGAUCAUUCAGGGAACAGGAAGUUAUAAAGGAAACAGGAAGUUCAGGGUUCUUUCUCUAAUCUGCACACAGCAAGCAGCAACAGAAAUAGCACUUCCUGUUGAUAAAUCCAGAGCACUUCCUGUUGAUAAAUCCAGAGCUACAGAUUCACAGAUAUAAGAAGACCGAGGAGUUCAGAUGAAAAGAAACAAAGCUACAUGGACAGACAGGUGAUCAUUCAAAUGAUUUCGUCUGCUUGCGUUGGAUGGAUGUUUCUCGAUCUUCUCCUGAGUCCGUUUGAACUUUUGUGAUCUGUUGCUUUGGUAACCUCAGCAUCGUUAACAAAAACAGGCCAAUCAGAGUCCACAUUUUGAAGGUCUCGGUCUGGGACUAGAAGGAAAAAACAUCAAAUAACUUCAGUCCCCGGUUACGACCACAACCUUCCUGGUGUUACGGUCCAACUGUUUGUACAGGUUGCUCCUCCUCGUAUUUGCUCCGCUCGUGGCAACAAUAUUAUUUGACUUUUCUUUCACAAAGCUGAACUGUACCUGUAGGUCUGUCUUGAUGAGCGAGGCUCCUGCUUGGACCAGAUAAUGACAGAUAGUUCUUUGAGACAGGGACGCAGCUCGGUGAAGGACCGUCUCCCCCCUGGUCAACAGAAGAGAGAGAGAGAGAGAGAGAGAGAGAGAGAGAGAGAGAGAGAGA